GAUGAACGCUGGCGGCGUGCCUAAUACAUGCAAGUCGAGCGAACAGACGAGGAGCUUGCUCCUCUGACGUUAGCGGCGGACGGGUGGGUAACACGUGGAUAACCUACCUAUAAGACUGGGAUAACUUCGGGAAACCGGAGCUAAUACCGGAUAAUAUAUUGAACCGCAUGGUUCAAUAGUGAAAGACGGUUUUGCUGUCACUUAUAGAUGGAUCCGCGCCGCAUUAGCUAGUUGGUAAGGUAACGGCUUACCAAGGCGACGAUGCGUAGCCGACCUAAGAGGGUGAUCGGCCACACUGGAACUGAGACACGGUCCAGACUCCUACGGGAGGCAGCAGUAGGGAAUCUUCCGCAAUGGGCGAAAGCCUGACGGAGCAACGCCGCGUGAGUGAUGAAGGUCUUCGGAUCGUAAAACUCUGUUAUUAGGGAAGAACAAAUGUGUAAGUAACUAUGCACGUCUUGACGGUACCUAAUCAGAAAGCCACGGCUAACUACGUG
Molecule: ribosomal RNA, 497 nt
Filed under: uncultured bacterium
Lineage: Bacteria
Description: partial 16S ribosomal RNA
Rfam family: Bacterial small subunit ribosomal RNA
Source: RNAcentral